UGUGUCGUAGCUUAAUUUGUGAAGGCUAACCCUGACCUCGUGAGGAUACAUUUGAAAUGCGUAACGCUGGACUGUAGAAAGUGAGGCUUGGGGGGUUGCAAAUUCCGGGCAAAGCGGUCUGAUGUUUGCUGCCGUCAAGUGAUUUAUCCAGAAUUCCAAGCACGGUCUCUUUUACAUACAGCGCUUCCUCGCUCUAGACGCUCUUUACUUACGGCCGAGAUUUCCAAGAGGAACUUGUUCUUCUCAUCAUCCACGUUGAUGAUGCCGCCUUGAUUCUGCUGCCUUAAGUAGAGCUCCGCCAUACCCUGCUGCAACUGGAGCAUUUCUGGAGUGAGAGAAAAAUUGGGCUGCUUGGUCAUCUCCACCGGAGGGGGAUAGUCCUUCUCCGCCAUGUCUUCCGGAGAUAUUGGCAGACGGCAGACCGGACACAGAACCUGGAACAGCCAGGGGGGCCCACACUUAGCACCAGGCGCAAAAGCGUAUCCACGAAAAUUGAAGCGAAGCAACACGACACAGGCAACUCACAUGUUCCAACGAUUUGUAUCUGGGGAAUGCCCUUCCUUCUACAGCAUUAUAUGCCACAAGUAUCAUAAAUAAAAAAAUUAAAAAAAAGCUAAACCUAAGCA
Ornithodoros turicata is the source of this 626-nucleotide long non-coding RNA. RefSeq lists it as uncharacterized. NCBI's taxonomy places the organism in Eukaryota, Metazoa, Arthropoda, Arachnida, Ixodida, Argasidae. The transcript has 3 exons. The record is from RefSeq and is a predicted model, not a curated record.